This 301-nucleotide ribosomal RNA is filed under the name uncultured bacterium. Its description in RNAcentral is "partial 16S ribosomal RNA". It matches the Rfam family "Bacterial small subunit ribosomal RNA", at positions 509 to 807 of the family's 1533-position model. The record is from RNAcentral.
CAGUCGCCACGGUAAUACGAAGGGGGCUAGCGUUGUUCGGAAUUACUGGGCGUAAAGCGCACGUAGGCGGAUAUUUAAGUCAGGGGUGAAAUCCCGCAGCUCAACUGCGGAACUGCCUUUGAUACUGGGUAUCUUGAGUAUGGAAGAGGUUAGUGGAAUUGCGAGUGUAGAGGUGAAAUUCGUAGAUAUUCGGAGGAACACCAGUGGCGAAGGCGGCUCACUGGUCCAUUACUGACGCUGAGGUGCGAAAGCGUGGGGAGCAAACAGGAUUAGAUACCCGCGUAGUCCCUGUCUCUUAUAC